Molecule: long non-coding RNA, 2288 nt
Organism: Hippopotamus amphibius kiboko
Lineage: Eukaryota; Metazoa; Chordata; Mammalia; Artiodactyla; Hippopotamidae
Exons: 9
Source: RefSeq, a predicted model, not a curated record
CGGGCGCAGGCUGCGGUGCGUUUACGCAGCGCUUGGUUCGCGUCGCUCUGUCGGAAAUGACAGAUGGGUACAGCGUUCGAGGGUCGGUAUGAGAAGUUGCUCUUUGUCUUAAGCGUUCCACAGAAGGCGUUUGUUGGGGCUUUGUAUCCGUUUUCGAGCCUGGCUGCGUCCUCGCCGUAGCUUCGCCUCUGCGAGCGGCGGGCGCAUUCCCGGGAGGCGGGGACCUCCCGGGUCUGCUUUUGCGGGCUACUUGGGCGACCCAAGUGAGUCCCGUCGCGGUGAUCCACUUCUGAGACGUGACCUGUUUUUUUCCGUUUGCUUUAAGAAGCUCCCAGUCGCGUUCCAACGUUUCACUGGAGUCGGUCAUGGUCCAGGAGUCAGAGCCCGCGUGGGAGAAGAAGGUCUCGGUCCAGAAGGCGCCACCAGAGAAAGUACGGACUCCAAUCGCAGUCUUCCUCGCGGAGCGGGUCGCGAUCCUUCAGGAGGUGCGGCUUUCAGGGAAGGUCGUAUUACAGAAGGACCUUCUCGAUCACGCGGGGUGACAGUACUAGGGCUUUGACCUUGUGGUGUACCCGAAAGAACACAGCAUUUGGAGGGAGAGAUCCAGGAAGAGGUCGCAGAGCAGAACCCCGAUUCGCAUAAAAUGAAUGGAGCUAUUAGAAAUAACAAAAGUCCGUGCAGUUGAAUCAUUAGGAACAGCCAACCUUGACUUGCCAGCUAGUCUCAGAAGUGUCUCUGUAGCUAAAGAAAGAAACCGUGGAACAGCUGUACCAAAUACUGCAAAGUUCAAAAGUUCAGAUCAUGAAAAUGAGAGUGAGUUCCAUACCAACGCCAGCAUGACCCAGAUGAUACCAAGAAAGAAGACUAAACGGCUUCGUUAUUUUAAUGAUAGAUGGAAGGACACUUACAACUGCAUUAGGGAGAACUGCUUGAUGAUCUUUGAAGAGGUGAUAAGGAACCCAGAAAAGGAUAAACUGUCUGCACCUGAGUUAUUUGAUAUUACGUUUUCUUGUGUCAUAAGUGGGAUCUGAAGACUAUUUGCUGACAAGCCCUGAGGCCGGUGAGUAACUAGGUGUCUGUACCUACUAAGGCCACUGUGCUCACUGCUGUCUCACCAACUACGGAGUUCUAGGGUAAAGACCUGCUUACUACAGCUAUUUACUAUUUAUGAUAGCCAAGACAACCUAUCCAUCAAUGGAAGCAAGCUAGCCAUCGACAGAUGAAUGGAUAAAGAAGAUGUGGAUCCCAUCCAGGACACCAUGUUACAUUCAUGUCUCCUGAGGCUCCUCUUGACUGUGACAGUUUCUCAGACUCUCCUUGUUUCUGACGCACAGAUGUGAGGAGUACUGGUCAGGAAUAUUGUAGGUGUUGGUUAUUUUUUGUAUGUAGCAUUUCAUAAUAAAAAAUUACUAAUCGGGGACUUCCAUGGUGGUUCAGUGGUUAAGACUCUGUGCUUCCACUGCAGGGGACACAAGUUCAAUCCCUAGUGGGGGAACUAAGAUCCUGCACGCCAUGGGGCGUGGCCAAAAAGAAAAAAAAUUACUAAUCAAUUGUGGUAACAAUACCUGUUGGGCCUACCUGAAAACACACACACACACGCACACCCCACCUCUAGAUGCUAUCGAUUUAGUGCAAGCCAGCAUCAUUUCUCACUCUAAUCACUGCAAUUGUCUCACUGCUCCUUAUUUCUCCACACUCUUUUCUCCCCCAUCUUUUCUCCACACAGCAGCCAGAGAGGCUUUAAAAUAUAAAUCAGCUUCUAUUUCUUCUGUUCUCCAAAUGCUUCAGUGGCUCCUUUUCUCGUAGACUAAAAUAUGCUACAAGAUCCUUCAUGCUCUCAUCACUUAUCACUCUCCCCCGGCUCACUCUGCUCUGUCACAUUAGCUUCCUUGCAGAUCCUGAAACACACCGCACUCCUGCCCUAGAAUCUUUGCACCCGUCUUUUACCUGGAACAUUCAUCCUCUGCACAGCCAAGGGCUCACUCCUUUGCUCCUUUCUAGUCUCUGCUCAGUUGUCACCUCUUAAGAGAGGCCUUCCCUCACACCCUAUCUUGCCUAGCAGCGCCACCCCCCCACAAGUUGUCCUCUUUCUCCUUAGCUUUUUUAAAAUUUCAAAAUAUUUAUCACCACCUAACAUUACAUUCUGCAUCUUUAUUUGUUUGUUGUCUGUCUCUACCAUUGGAAAAUAAGUUUCAUGAAGCCAAGCACUUAAUACAAUUUGUUUAUUGCUGUAUCUUAGGCUCAAAAUCAACACAAUAAAUAUUGGUUAAAGUAAUUAAUGAAUAAAA